RNAcentral lists this ribosomal RNA (464 nucleotides) under Vreelandella stevensii. Its description in RNAcentral is "partial 16S ribosomal RNA". It matches the Rfam family "Bacterial small subunit ribosomal RNA", at positions 338 to 795 of the family's 1533-position model. The record is from RNAcentral. Lineage: Bacteria; Pseudomonadati; Pseudomonadota; Gammaproteobacteria; Oceanospirillales; Halomonadaceae.
CCUACGGUGGCUGCAGUGGGGAAUAUUGGACAAUGGGCGAAAGCCUGAUCCAGCCAUGCCGCGUGUGUGAAGAAGGCCUUCGGGUUGUAAAGCACUUUCAGUGGGGAAGAAAGCCUUGGGGCUAAUACCCUCGAGGAAGGACAUCACCCACAGAAGAAGCACCGGCUAACUCCGUGCCAGCAGCCGCGGUAAUACGGAGGGUGCGAGCGUUAAUCGGAAUUACUGGGCGUAAAGCGCGCGUAGGCGGUCUGAUAAGCCGGUUGUGAAAGCCCCGGGCUCAACCUGGGAACGGCAUCCGGAACUGUCAGGCUAGAGUGCAGGAGAGGAAGGUAGAAUUCCCGGUGUAGCGGUGAAAUGCAUAGAGAUCGGGAGGAAUACCAGUGGCGAAGGCGGCCUUCUGGACUGACACUGACGCUGAGGUGCGAAAGCGUGGGUAGCAAACAGGAUUAGAUACCCUAGUAGUC